Neofelis nebulosa (Clouded leopard) is the source of this 3248-nucleotide long non-coding RNA. RefSeq lists it as uncharacterized. The transcript is spliced from 3 exons. NCBI's taxonomy places the organism in Eukaryota, Metazoa, Chordata, Mammalia, Carnivora, Felidae. The record is from RefSeq and is a predicted model, not a curated record.
CAAAAGUAAAACAAAUUUUCUGCCAGUGUAUUUUUAAGGGAAAGGCUCAGUGGCUUCGGUAACUGCUCGUUUAUUCAAAUAACUGCUUACAUCGCUGACCUUUGUUUCUUUAAUUUCCAUGAAGCCAUCAUUAAACAUGGAGCAAAGACACCAACUGUUUGUAAUUGGAUACAGUUAGCCAUUUCUAUGGUGCUACACAACUAACAAUAAUUACGAGAAGAAAAAUGAGGAUCAGUUUCAUAAAUGAUAAAUUAGAAAAGGUUUUGGACUUGAAGCCCAAAUGAAGAAUCACCUUAUUCCCUCUCCCUUGACUAAAGAUAACCCUCUUCUACUAAGUGCCUGCAUUACCUAAUCAGAAUAUGAAGAAGCUGCAUCGCAGAGACUUGAAUCAUAUGGGUACAUGAAUCAUAUAAGAGAGACAGGGACCACACGAGUGUGAGUUGGGGAGAGGAGCAGAGGGAAAGAGAGAAUCUUAUGCAGACUCCACACCUAGCAUCAAUGCAGCAUUAGAUCUGACAACCUACUGAGAUCAUGACCUGAGCCGAAAUCAAGAGUCAGACACUUAACCCACUGAGCCACCCAGGCGCUCCUCCCCUUUUUCAGGAGGUUGUUUAUUUUUAAAGCAUUAGCCAGAAAUUUCUGAAUAACUUUGUUUGAUAUCCACUAAACCAAGAAGAGAGAAAGUCAAAUGGAUAUUCUUUGAAGCUAUAUACAGAAAAAUAAAAGUGCCACAUAUGAACCAAAGUAGCCAGAAAUCCUUAGUGGGGUUUUUUUUCUUCAUUUUUUAAAUGUUUAUUCAUGUUUGAGAUGGGGGAGGGGCAGAGAGAGAGGGAGACACAGAAUCUGAAGCUGUCAGCACAGAGCCCUUCACAGGGCGCAAACCCACGAAUCCUGAGAUCAGGAAUGGAGCCAAAGUCAGACGCUCUACCAACUGAGCCACCCAGGCACCCCAAUCCUUGGUAUUUUUAAAAGUUCCUCUAACAGUUCACAGUCAAUGAAAUUAUAACAGAAAGUAUAUUUUCCCACAUGCAUUUCCAUUUAUAAACCUAAAAUAGUAACUGCUGAUACAUGAACUUCAGAGUUGCUGAAAAACAUGCUUAUUAAAAUGAUGAGUAUUUAGAGAAUGUUCCCAACAUCAAAGUUAUCAUACAUAUCUUUCCUAAAUUUUAAUACAUUAAAUCUAAUUUUCUCAUCCCCCCAUUCACUGUUUUAUUUACUGAAUUGAAAUAAUUUCUUCUUUUGCUUUCUAUUAUUCCCAAUUAUUGUUGAUAAUACUAUCCAAGAAAUAGUUUCUUCUUUUAAAAAAAUCUGUAUAUAAAAAUAGUUACCUAAUUUUGAUAAUCCUUGGUACAUGACUUGCUAGAGAAAUGUCAAGAUCAUUUCAUUAUAUAAAAACUUGACAAAUAUUGAUAGACAGCCAUGCAAAGGGCAAGCUCAUAUGAAUUUUUAUUUAACUUACUUACCAAUUAUCAUUUUUAAAGGGCAAUUCAGUGUCUGAAGAAAGAGGUUAAAUUAUGCUAGUUUGCAACUGAUUCCUUAGCAAUGAACAUUAAGUAACCUCCAUACUUUCAGGGAGAAGAAAAAUAAGGUAAAUUUUUUGCUUUACAUUUUAAAGAAUCUGAGGCAAAUAUUUAACUAAAUUUCAUGGCUGAAGAGAGGUAGAUUUUAUACACUAUUCUAUUAUUUGAUGAAGUCCCAAUAGUUCACUUUUCCUUUUUUUCCCCUUGCCUCUAGAGGCACGUCUACUAAGAAGCUGCUACAGCCGAAGUCAAAGAGGUUGCUGCCUGUGUUCUCCUCUAGGAUUUUGAUGGUUUCUUGUCUCACAUUUAGGUCUUUCAUCCAUUAUGAAUUUAUUUUGCACAUGGUGUAUGUAAGUGGGACAGUUUUUCUUCUGCAUGUUGCUGUCCAGGUUUCCCAACACCAUUUGUUGAAAAGAGUAUCUUUCUUCUAUUGGAUAUUUUUUCUUGCUUUGUCAAAGAUUAGUUAACUAUAUAGUUGUGGGUCCAUUUCUAGGUUUUCUAUUCUGUUCCAUUGAUCUAUGUGUCUGUUUUUGUGUCAGUACCAUACUGUCUUGAUGGCUACAGCUUUGUAAUACAACUUGAAGUCUGGAAUUGUAAUACCUCCAACUUUGUUUUUCUUUUUCAGAUUGCUUUUGCUAUUCAGGGUCUUUUGUGGUUCCAUACAAAUUUUAGAAUUGUUUGUACAGAUAAAAAGCUUCCACAGAGCGAAGGAAAUAAUCAACUAAACUAAAAGACAGCCUACAGAAUGGGAGAAGAUAUAUGCAAAUGUCACAUCUGAUAAAGGGUUACUAUCCAAAAUCUAUAGAAAACUCAACAAACUCAACACCCCAAAAAUAAAUAAUCCUGUUAAGAAAUGGGCUGAAGACAUGAAUAGAUACUUUUCCAAAGAACACAUGCAGAUGGCCAACAGAUACAUGAAAAGAUGCUCAACAUCACUUAUCAUCAGGGAAAUACAAUUCAAGACCACAAAGGGAUGCCACCUCACACCUGUCAGAAUGGCUAAAAUUAACAGGAAACAACAGGUGUUGGCAAGGAUGCAGAAAAAGGAGUACCCUCUUACACUGUUGAAAGGAAUGCAAACUGGUGCAGCCACUCCAGAAAGCUUAAGGAAUUUUCUCAAAAAGUUAAAAAUAGAACUACUCUAUGACCCAGCAGUUGCACUAUUGGUAUUUACCCAAAGGAUACAAAAAUACUGAUUAAAAGAGGCACAUGCACACUGAUGUUUAUAGCAGCACUAUUAACAAUAGCCAAAUUUAUGGAAACAGCCCAAAUGUACAUUGACUGACGAAUGGAUAAAGAAGAGGUGAUAUAAUGGAAUAUUACUCGGCCAUCAAAAAAGAAUGAAAUCUUGCCAUUUGCAACAACCUGGAUGGAGCUAGAGUGUAUUAUGCUAAGCAAAAUAAGUCAGAAAAAGACAAACACCAUAUGAUUUCACUCAUAUAUGGAGUUUAAGAAACAAAACAGAUGAGCAUAGGGGAAGGGAAAAAAGAGAGAGGGAGGCAAACCAUAAGGGACUCUUAACUAUAGAGAACAAACUGAGGGCUGAUGGAGGGAAGGUGGGCAGGGGAUGGGCUAAAUGGGUGAUAGGUAUUAAGGAGGGCACUUGUGAUGAGCACUGGGUGUUGUAUGUAAGUGAUGAAUCAGUGAAUUCUAUUCCUGAAACCAAUAUGCACUGUAUGUUGACUAAAUAAAAUUUAAAUAAUAAAAAGAAAUAGUUUUAAAAUCUAA